Molecule: ribosomal RNA, 551 nt
Filed under: uncultured bacterium
Lineage: Bacteria
Description: bacterial SSU rRNA
Rfam family: Bacterial small subunit ribosomal RNA
Source: RNAcentral
AACGGUGGGUACUAGGUGUGGGGUCCAUUCCACGGGUUCCGCGCCGUAGCUAACGCUUUAAGUACCCCGCCUGGGGAGUACGGCCGCAAGGCUAAAACUCAAAGGAAUUGACGGGGCCCCGCACAAGCGGCGGAGCAUGCGGAUUAAUUCGAUGCAACGCGUAGAACCUUACCUGGGUUUGACAUGGAUCGGGAGUGCUCAGAGAUGGGUGUGCCUCUUUUGGGGUCGGUUCACAGGUGGUGCAUGGCUGUCGUCAGCUCGUGUCGUGAGAUGUUGGGUUAAGUCCCGCAACGAGCGCAACCCUUGUUCACUGUUGCCAGCACGUUAUGGUGGGGACUCAGUGGAGACCGCCGGGGUCAACUCGGAGGAAGGUGGGGAUGACGUCAAGUCAUCAUGCCCCUUAUGUCCAGGGCUUCACGCAUGCUACAAUGGCUGGUACAGAGAGUGGCGAGCCUGUGAGGGUGAGCGAAUCUCGGAAAGCCGGUCUCAGUUCGGAUUGGGGUCUGCAACUCGACCUCAUGAAGUCGGAGUCGCUAGUAAUCGCAGAUCAG